RNAcentral lists this non-coding RNA (29 nucleotides) under Homo sapiens (human). Lineage: Eukaryota; Metazoa; Chordata; Mammalia; Primates; Hominidae. The record is from RNAcentral.
GUGAGCCAAACUGCAGUGAUUGUUGUCUC